This 625-nucleotide ribosomal RNA is filed under the name uncultured Clostridium sp. RNAcentral's name for it is "bacterial SSU rRNA". It matches the Rfam family "Bacterial small subunit ribosomal RNA", at positions 64 to 718 of the family's 1533-position model. The record is from RNAcentral. Lineage: Bacteria; Bacillati; Bacillota; Clostridia; Eubacteriales; Clostridiaceae.
GAGCGAUUUACUUCGGUAAAGAGCGGCGGACGGGUGAGUAACGCGUGGGUAACCUGCCCUGUACACACGGAUAACAUACCGAAAGGUAUGCUAAUACGAGAUAAUAUACUUUUAUCGCAUGGUAGAAGUAUCAAAGCUCCGGCGGUACAGGAUGGACCCGCGUCUGAUUAGCUAGUUGGUAAGGUAACGGCUUACCAAGGCGACGAUCAGUAGCCGACCUGAGAGGGUGAUCGGCCACAUUGGAACUGAGACACGGUCCAAACUCCUACGGGAGGCAGCAGUGGGGAAUAUUGCACAAUGGGCGAAAGCCUGAUGCAGCAACGCCGCGUGAGCGAUGAAGGCCUUCGGGUCGUAAAGCUCUGUCCUCAAGGAAGAUAAUGACGGUACUUGAGGAGGAAGCCCCGGCUAACUACGUGCCAGCAGCCGCGGUAAUACGUAGGGGGCUAGCGUUAUCCGGAAUUACUGGGCGUAAAGGGUGCGUAGGUGGUUUCUUAAGUCAGAGGUGAAAGGCUACGGCUCAACCGUAGUAAGCCUUUGAAACUGGGAAACUUGAGUGCAGGAGAGGAGAGUGGAAUUCCUAGUGUAGCGGUGAAAUGCGUAGAUAUUAGGAGGACACCAGUUGCGA